UCUCUUUCACUCCUCCUCCUCCUCCUCUUCCUCUCUGUCUGUUUAUCUUCAUCCCUUCCUUCCUUUUAAUUAAUGUCUAAGUUAUCUUUUAAUUGCUCAAGGUUCUUUCUAGUGUGUUUGUGGUGCCCAGCUCUGCUCACUAGUUUACUUUGUCACUGUAUAAUUGUCAGUCCCAGUUUGUUUUGUCACUGUAGAAUCGUCAGUCCCAGUUUGUUUAGUCACUGUAGAAUCGUCAGUCCCAGUUUGUUUAGUCACUGUAGAAUCGUCAGUCCCAGCCAGGCGCCUCUUCCAUGUAAAGAUAUCGGCAGCUUCCAGCCUUGCCGAUAUCUCAAUCCGUACGUCAAUGUGAAUUAACCGAAAUUCUAGUUAGUGUCUGCAUGGUGCUCUCUCUCAUGAUGCUUCUUUAAAAUUUCAGCCUCACUCACAGUCCGGGGUUAGUACUAUAUUUUGCCAUGAGUUAACCACCCCGUGAUGGCCAGUUUCAUGCACUAUAUAUAAGUAAUUUGCCUUUUGCAUGACCAUAAUUCUGCACCUGUGUCUAAGGCCCAGUUUCACAGUUCCCCAUGAUGAGUUAGUAAGCUCCCAAACCAAUACCAGAGCCUUCGAAAUUUUCUUGUACAGUGUCUGGAGUUUAUAUUCAAGUUCACUAAUUUGACGAAACUAUACAGGAAAGGUCUUGUGUGUUUAUGAUACGAAGGAAAGGGAAGAGAAGGAAGAUGAGAUUGAGAGACGAGUGAGCCGAGAUCCUGUUUAUAUUCUAGUUCACAAAUUUGACGAGACUAUACAGGAAAAGCUCUGUGUUUAUGAUAUGAAGGAAAGGGAAGAGAAGGGAGAUGAGAUUGAGAGAUGAGAUCGUGUUUAUAUUCAAGUCCACAAAUUUGAUGACACUAUACAGGAAAAGCUCUGUGUAUUUAGUGUCUCAUCGAAGACCUCACCAUUUGGAACUGUAUGGAAUUCUAUAGCUUGGUUCGGGAGUGUUACAAAGACCGUGUUGGACUGUGGAAGCGGCUCUUAAUGUUCCCUUUUCUAAUAUAUGCCUCUCUGUUUUGCAGGAUGCCGCGGCCGGACCAUGCAGAGGACUCAUCGCGACGACACCAACGGUUUGGUUAAGUGGGUUCUCUUGUGUGUGCGUCUGUGUGUGAAUGGCAGGCCUGCCGUAUGAUUGUGUGUGUGUGUGCGUUGGCGGUAUGCCUUCGCGCUAUGAUUUCGUUAGGAUGUAUUUUUUUGUGUGUGAACUUUUUGCACGUAAUCUUUUUUUAUACCCAUAGUUAGCGUUGUGUGUGUGUGGCUGUGUUCCGGGAGAUGGACGCCAGGGGACAUGGGCUGGGGGAGGCGCAUGUGACCUCCUCUGUCCGUGACCUCUUCAGCCGGGGAGACCGCGUGUUGUCCCGGCUGGAGAGACACGUUGAUGGAGGCGGCUGCAUGUGUCAUCCCUUGCCUGUAUCCUCUGGCGUCCAGAGGCGCGUAAGUGGAGAGCAUCGGCGCAGCGCGGGAGCAGCACGUCAGGGUGUAGGGUGUUUGUUUAGCUGGUGUUAGGGUGUUAGGUGUAACAACGGUUGGCUCUUUCACAGAACGGGUGUGAUUCCGUUCUGCGUUUGAGUCUUCCACCUUCAGACGGUCUCCCUCCGAGAUGUCUGAAGUUUUUUUUGUCGGUUUUCUCCGUAGGAGGAAGCCGGCUCUAGCUACUCUGGUCUCUCUUCCGGGGGCCAGAGCGGUCGGGCUCUGCUUGGCCAGGCGUGUUCUUUCGCGUUGUCUCCGUCGAAGUUUUGCCAGACUCUUCCGUAAGGUUGAGCCUGGCUUUUUUAUUAGGUGGAUCAGGCUGCCUUCUUCCAAGGAGUCUGAUGGGAGUGGAGUCUUUUUUUUGGUGUAUGUCUGUGGGUGCUUAGUGGGUAAGGGAGGGUGGGGUAGAAUGGUUGGUGGGCUGGAAGUGGGUUGGGGGAUGAACCUCCUGGGAUUUGGGUUGUGUCGAGCCUUACCGCCUGGUGUGUUGGGUAACCUUCACGCCAGGGGGGGGGUGCCAAGACCAUAUCCAUCUCCUGGUGCAGGGUGAUUCCCCUUUCCCAUGCCAACUGGCCCUCCUCCGUCUGCCUCCCCAAACCCCCGCUGAGUGCUUGUGUGUGUUAUUUUAUUUAGGAUGUCUUUUUUUUCUAUGCCUUUUUUCCGUGUGUUUAUACCCAAUAGCUAGCGUGUGUGUGUGUGGCAGUCCGGAGGCGCGUGCAGCGAGGACAUCACAUCACGUCACUACGGUAUAUCCACGGUAUUUGGUUUAGUGUGUGCUGUGUGUGUUUGUGUGUGUGAUGGCAGGCCUGCCGUGUGUUUGACCUUUUGCUGUGUGUUGCUGUGUGACUGCUAGGAUUUCAUUUCUAUGUAUGUUUUUUUCCCCAUAACCCCCUUCCUCCCUAGCUCUUUAGCUGUUGUCCCUGGUGAGGCGCUGGGUGGAUGCUGCCGGGCGAGCAACGGCGGUGGCGGUGUGCGACGCGGGAGCAGCUGAGGUUUGGGUAGCACUACGGUGCAGGUUAUGUAGGGUGUGUGAGUUUUUUUUUUGUGUGAGUGUCUUUUUUUUGUGUGGGGUGUUGGCGGGGGACUUAGCUAAUCACUGUGUCAGGAAGGCAUGGGCGUGGCCGUCUGUCCAUCAGGCCGACGGGCGGGUGUGCCACCUGGCAGUCAGGCUAGCAGGUGACAGGCAAGCUAUCUGGUGGUCAGGCUGUCAGUCGGGCCAUCAGAUAGGUAGGCAGGCCACCUUGCGGUCGGGUUGUCGGGCGGGCACCCCACCCUCGGUCAGGUAGGCAGGCAGCAGCGUCUACGCUGAGCCGUACGGCCACACGUACGAACGCACGGAACCCGUACGCUACGUUCCGCCGCACUGACGCUCGUCGUACCUCUGCUCGCACGCUUGCGGGCGGGUGGAGGGCGGGGGGCGGAUGGGCGGACGGGCGGGCGUACGUGGGAACGGGCGGGCGGACGGGUGGUCGGGCGGGUAGGGAGCCGGAGCAACGCUAGAAAGACGCGCAGAUAGAUGUCAGAUUCUCCCGUAGGGAGGUCUGGCAAGGUGAUAGUGUGGGCGGCGGGGUUUUACGCGGGUGAGUCCGUGUUAGAGCUUUGCUGCCAGGGUAGCUCCUUCUGAGCUGCCUGAACUGAGGACCAGUUUUCCUCACAGGAGGAGGCUGGUGGAGUCUAGGGUGUUAGGAUUUCAACGGUUGGCUCUUUCACAGAACGGGUGUGAUUCCGUUCUGCGUUUGAGUCUGCUGGCUUUGGGCGUCUCCCUCCGAGAUGUCGGUUAGGAUUUCUUUUUUUUAUAUGUCCGUGUGUGUAACUGUUGCCUUUUAGCCUGUUGUGUUCCUGAGCAGCAAGAAGAGGAGGCUGUGGUGACCCGCCCGAUGCGGAAGGCCUCUGGGCCUUCUCGGCGUGGGGCGCACCUCUCUGGCUGACUGGUUUAGGGAGGGCUUCCCGUCUGGCCGGCUGCAAGUUCAAUCCCAGGAUUGAACCCAUGGCUUGCCAGAUGGGGGGCUGCGCCUUUGACCAGGUGGCCGGGGAGGCGCCCCCUCGCUGGGCAGGGUCUGGGGGCCCUCCGUCUUGGGGAGGUCGCUGCAGCAGGAGGAGGUAACUACUGCUGGUUUUGUAAGGCAUUGUGGUUGAGAGCACCUUGCAGCUGUAACGUGAAUUUCGUUCCGUAAUAAACAAUGUACCGCCAUGCUGCCUGUCCUUCCUCCCUCCCAGUACUGUACGUAGGUCUGUGUGUGUGUUGCUUCUCCCUCCCCGCUCUUUUUUUGACAAAGAUAAAAAAAAUGCAGAUUUGCCGUGACCACUGGUUGUGGGCGG
This is a long non-coding RNA of Eriocheir sinensis (Chinese mitten crab), 3819 nucleotides long. RefSeq lists it as uncharacterized. The transcript is spliced from 3 exons. The record is from RefSeq and is a predicted model, not a curated record. NCBI's taxonomy places the organism in Eukaryota, Metazoa, Arthropoda, Malacostraca, Decapoda, Varunidae.